AUACGGAGGGGGUUAGCGUUGUUCGGAAUUACUGGGCGUAAAGCGCACGUAGGCGGACUGGAAAGUUGGGGGUGAAAUCCCGGGGCUCAACCCCGGAACUGCCUCCAAAACUUCCAAUCUAGAGAGCGAGAGAGGUGAGUGGAAUUCCAAGUGUAGAGGUGAAAUUCGUAGAUAUUUGGAGGAACACCAGUGGCGAAGGCGGCUCACUGGCUCGAUACUGACGCUGAGGUGCGAAAGCGUGGGGAGCAAACAGGAUUAGAUACCCUAGUAGUCC
RNAcentral lists this ribosomal RNA (274 nucleotides) under uncultured bacterium. RNAcentral describes it as "partial 16S ribosomal RNA". It matches the Rfam family "Bacterial small subunit ribosomal RNA", at positions 523 to 796 of the family's 1533-position model. The record is from RNAcentral.